UUUUAGCCCCGAUUGCAACGGCAUCCUUUUGCGAAACGAAGUGUAGCAAAAGAUAUAGUGAAAAGCGGGUACGAUU
This 76-nucleotide small RNA is filed under the name Kaistella jeonii. Its description in RNAcentral is "Chryseobacterium jeonii Flavo-1 RNA". It matches the Rfam family "Flavo-1 RNA". Lineage: Bacteria; Pseudomonadati; Bacteroidota; Flavobacteriia; Flavobacteriales; Weeksellaceae. The record is from RNAcentral.